CUUUCCUGAACUCCCAAUACAGACAUGCAGUGAGCUACUUGAUCUUGAAACGACACUGUCAGAUGAGCAAGCCAAAGUAUACCUGAUUGGAAAGCUCUCUCGUCUGGGCGGAAACUCACUGGCUGAAAGUGUGCGAAUCCUGGUGAAAAAUCUGAUAAAGAACAGCGUUGCUUUGCAAUACAGCUUAAGGGGGGCACAACAGAAAAAAGACUUUUCCGCAUUGCGAGUCUACUCCUGCAUUACUGAGGUGCUCCUCAAACGACACAACAGCGUUACGAUGAAAGAAGUCGAGGAUAGGAUUGGAAGAUACUUAGCCGGCGCACCUGACCGGGAG
This is a long non-coding RNA of Ornithodoros turicata, 334 nucleotides long. RefSeq lists it as uncharacterized. The transcript is spliced from 3 exons. The record is from RefSeq and is a predicted model, not a curated record. NCBI's taxonomy places the organism in Eukaryota, Metazoa, Arthropoda, Arachnida, Ixodida, Argasidae.